This 396-nucleotide ribosomal RNA is filed under the name uncultured bacterium. Its description in RNAcentral is "bacterial SSU rRNA". It matches the Rfam family "Bacterial small subunit ribosomal RNA", at positions 505 to 898 of the family's 1533-position model. The record is from RNAcentral.
GUGUCAGCAGCCGCGGUAAUACGUAGGGGGCAAGCGUUAUCCGGAUUUAUUGGGCGUAAAGCGCGCGUAGGCGGUUUGUUAAGUCAGAUGUGAAAACCGGAGGCUCAACCUGCGGCCUGCAUCUGAAACUGGCAGACUUGAGUCUGGUAGAGGGAAAUGGAAUUCCCAGUGUAGCGGUGAAAUGCGCAGAUAUUGGGAGGAACACCAGUGGCGAAGGCGGUUUCCUGGGCCACGACUGACGCUGAGGCGCGAAAGCUAGGGGAGCGAACAGGAUUAGAUACCCUGGUAGUCCUAGCCGUAAACGAUGGGCACUAGGUGUGGGGGGUCAUCAACUCCCUCCGUGCCGCAGCUAACGCAUUAAGUGCCCCGCCUGGGGAGUACGGCCGCAAGGCUAAA